GAAACUAGUGGUUUAGGCUCAUAUUCCGUGUUGAUAUCCUCAUCACUGUGUUCAGUCGUUCAACUAAGAGGUUUUUCUUUUGGACACCGUUCUUGUUAGGAUUCAUUAGCUCUUAUUUCUCUUUUUUUUUCAUGCGCUCCUUUGAGCACGCUUUUUGCCAACCUCAAUAUUUCUAGAUAAGUGCUUUAUUUUACUUCUCAAUUUUUUUCAUUC
This 213-nucleotide long non-coding RNA is filed under the name Lathyrus oleraceus (garden pea). RNAcentral's name for it is "Pisum sativum (pea) long non-coding RNA (PSAT_LNC018225)". The record is from RNAcentral. Lineage: Eukaryota; Viridiplantae; Streptophyta; Magnoliopsida; Fabales; Fabaceae.